AGAGUUUGAUCAUGGCUCAGAUUGAACGCUGGCGGCAGGCCUAACACAUGCAAGUCGAGCGGUAGCACAGAGAGCUUGCUCUCGGGUGACGAGCGGCGGACGGGUGAGUAAUGUCUGGGAAACUGCCUGAUGGAGGGGGAUAACUACUGGAAACGGUAGCUAAUACCGCAUAACGUCGCAAGACCAAAGUGGGGGACCUUCGGGCCUCAUGCCAUCAGAUGUGCCCAGAUGGGAUUAGCUAGUAGGUGGGGUAACGGCUCACCUAGGCGACGAUCCCUAGCUGGUCUGAGAGGAUGACCAGCCACACUGGAACUGAGACACGGUCCAGACUCCUACGGGAGGCAGCAGUGGGGAAUAUUGCACAAUGGGCGCAAGCCUGAUGCAGCCAUGCCGCGUGUGUGAAGAAGGCCUUCGGGUUGUAAAGCACUUUCAGCGGGGAGGAAGGCGAUAAGGUUAAUAACCUUGUCGAUUGACGUUACCCGCAGAAGAAGCACCGGCUAACUCCGUGCCAGCAGCCGCGGUAAUACGGAGGGUGCAAGCGUUAAUCGGAAUUACUGGGCGUAAAGCGCACGCAGGCGGUCUGUCAAGUCGGAUGUGAAAUCCCCGGGCUCAACCUGGGAACUGCAUUCGAAACUGGCAGGCUAGAGUCUUGUAGAGGGGGGUAGAAUUCCAGGUGUAGCGGUGAAAUGCGUAGAGAUCUGGAGGAAUACCGGUGGCGAAGGCGGCCCCCUGGACAAAGACUGACGCUCAGGUGCGAAAGCGUGGGGAGCAAACAGGAUUAGAUACCCUGGUAGUCCACGCCGUAAACGAUGUCGAUUUGGAGGUUGUGCCCUUGAGGCGUGGCUUCCGGAGCUAACGCGUUAAAUCGACCGCCUGGGGAGUACGGCCGCAAGGUUAAAACUCAAAUGAAUUGACGGGGGCCCGCACAAGCGGUGGAGCAUGUGGUUUAAUUCGAUGCAACGCGAAGAACCUUACCUGGUCUUGACAUCCACAGAACUUUCCAGAGAUGGAUUGGUGCCUUCGGGAACUGUGAGACAGGUGCUGCAUGGCUGUCGUCAGCUCGUGUUGUGAAAUGUUGGGUUAAGUCCCGCAACGAGCGCAACCCUUAUCCUUUGUUGCCAGCGGUUCGGCCGGGAACUCAAAGGAGACUGCCAGUGAUAAACUGGAGGAAGGUGGGGAUGACGUCAAGUCAUCAUGGCCCUUACGACCAGGGCUACACACGUGCUACAAUGGCAUAUACAAAGAGAAGCGACCUCGCGAGAGCAAGCGGACCUCAUAAAGUAUGUCGUAGUCCGGAUUGGAGUCUGCAACUCGACUCCAUGAAGUCGGAAUCGCUAGUAAUCGUAGAUCAGAAUGCUACGGUGAAUACGUUCCCGGGCCUUGUACACACCGCCCGUCACACCAUGGGAGUGGGUUGCAAAAGAAGUAGGUAGCUUAACCUUCGGGAGGGCGCUUACCACUUUGUGAUUCAUGACUGGGGUGAAGUCGUAACAAGGUAACCGUAGGGGAACCUGCGGUUGGAUCACCU
This 1528-nucleotide ribosomal RNA is filed under the name Klebsiella aerogenes. RNAcentral's name for it is "bacterial SSU rRNA". It matches the Rfam family "Bacterial small subunit ribosomal RNA". Lineage: Bacteria; Pseudomonadati; Pseudomonadota; Gammaproteobacteria; Enterobacterales; Enterobacteriaceae. The record is from RNAcentral. RNAcentral also lists the same sequence under 5 other names.